This 539-nucleotide small RNA is filed under the name Arabidopsis thaliana (thale cress). RNAcentral describes it as "ATSL224060". The record is from RNAcentral. Lineage: Eukaryota; Viridiplantae; Streptophyta; Magnoliopsida; Brassicales; Brassicaceae.
AUGUUACACACAAUAGAGACCUAUACUUAGACUUUAGGUCCUUAGAAAAUACCUUUGUUAGACUCCCAAAUGAUUGUAGAGUCAAGAUAGCAGGCAUAGGAUUCAUUCAACUGUCUGAUGCAAUCUCUCUACAUAAUGUGCUUUAUAUUCCUGAAUUUAAAUUCAAUUUGAUCAGUGUUAGUGUUCUUACUAAGUUUUUGAAAACAAAAGUGAGCUUUACAUCUGAUGAAUUUUUUGUUCAAGAACUUACAAAGGAGUUGAUGAUUGGUAGAGGUAGUGAAGUUGGGAAUCUUUAUGUUCUGGAUUUCAAUGAAAAUAAUCAUAUUGUGUCUUUAAAAGGUACUGCUUCUAUGUGUCCUGAGUUUUCUGUUUGUUCUUCUGUUGUUGUUGAUUCUGUUACAUGGCAUAAGAGAUUAGGUCAUCCUGCUUAUUCUAAGAUUGAUUUGUUGUCUGAUGUGUUGAACCUUAAAGAUAAAAAGAUAAAUAAAGAACAUUCCCCGGUUUGUCAUGUUUGUCAUUUGUCAAAACAAAAACAUUUA